RNAcentral lists this ribosomal RNA (440 nucleotides) under Salmonella enterica subsp. enterica serovar Anatum. Its description in RNAcentral is "bacterial SSU rRNA". It matches the Rfam family "Bacterial small subunit ribosomal RNA", at positions 338 to 795 of the family's 1533-position model. Lineage: Bacteria; Pseudomonadati; Pseudomonadota; Gammaproteobacteria; Enterobacterales; Enterobacteriaceae. The record is from RNAcentral.
CCUACGGGGGGCAGCAGUGGGGAAUAUUGCACAAUGGGGGAAACCCUGAUGCAGCGACGCCGCGUGAAGGAAGAAGGUCUUCGGAUUGUAAACUUCUGUCUCAGGGGAAGAAAAUGACGGUACCCUAGGAGGAAGCCCCGGCUAACUACGUGCCAGCAGCCGCGGUAAUACGUAGGGGGCAAGCGUUAUCCGGAUUUACUGGGUGUAAAGGGAGCGUAGGCGGAUUGGCAAGUUGGGAGUGAAAUCUAUGGGCUCAACCCAUAAAUUGCUUUCAAAACUGUCAGUCUUGAGUGGUGUAGAGGUAGGCGGAAUUCCUAGUGUAGCGGUGAAAUGCGUAGAUAUUAGGAGGAACACCAGUGGCGAAGGCGGCUUACUGGACAGUAACUGACGCUGAGGCUCGAAAGCGUGGGGAGCAAACAGGAUUAGAUACCCUGGUAGUC